RNAcentral lists this transfer RNA (88 nucleotides) under Sediminicola luteus. RNAcentral describes it as "tRNA-Ser". It matches the Rfam family "tRNA". Rfam says of the family: Transfer RNA (tRNA) molecules are approximately 80 nucleotides in length. Their secondary structure includes four short double-helical elements and three loops (D, anti-codon, and T loops). The record is from RNAcentral. Lineage: Bacteria; Pseudomonadati; Bacteroidota; Flavobacteriia; Flavobacteriales; Flavobacteriaceae.
GGAGAAGUGGCAGAGUGGUCGAAUGCACCGGUCUUGAAAACCGGCGAGGGUCACACCUCCGGGGGUUCGAAUCCCUCCUUCUCCGCAA